Molecule: small RNA, 167 nt
Filed under: human gut metagenome
Description: Clostridiales-1 RNA
Rfam family: Clostridiales-1 RNA
Source: RNAcentral
GAUAUCAGGGUCAAAAGGUCAAAAAGUCGUUCGUGCUUGCACGAUAAGACUUUUGAACUUGGGACCCGCCAAACAUGAGAAAGUAGCAAUUUACGCAGUAAAUCAGCGGAUUUCGAAUGUUUGAGAAUUGCGAAAGCUGCUUUGCAGCGGAGCAAUUCGUGGAUAUC